Molecule: long non-coding RNA, 246 nt
Organism: Gastrolobium bilobum
Lineage: Eukaryota; Viridiplantae; Streptophyta; Magnoliopsida; Fabales; Fabaceae
Exons: 3
Source: RefSeq, a predicted model, not a curated record
CUAUCUUUUCGAUUCUGAAAGUUGAGUAUCCAUUGAGCAUGGUUGAAGCAAUUAGCAAGAAAAAAUUAUUAUCUCUUUGGGAAACAUAACCCAAACAAGGUAGAAGAAGCUUUGCAAUUCACCAUUUUUCGACUAAAUUUCCCCUGCAAGGAAGCUCGAAGCUGACAUUGAAGUUACAAGGAAGGAGAUAGAAAAACCAACAGAAGUUGAAGUUGACCUCAAUUGAAGGCUUCAUCAAAAGACUGA